RNAcentral lists this small RNA (114 nucleotides) under Synechococcus sp. RNAcentral's name for it is "Guanidine-I sequence". It matches the Rfam family "Guanidine-I riboswitch aptamer". From Rfam's summary of the family: This family represents a conserved RNA structure found upstream of the ykkC and yxkD genes in Bacillus subtilis and related genes in other bacteria. The function of this family is unclear although it has been suggested that it may function to switch on efflux pumps and detoxification systems in response to harmful environmental molecules. Nelson showed that this riboswitch senses and responds to guanidine and it was renamed Guanidine-I riboswitch. The record is from RNAcentral. RNAcentral also lists the same sequence under 1 other name. Lineage: Bacteria; Bacillati; Cyanobacteriota; Cyanophyceae; Synechococcales; Synechococcaceae.
GGAAAUGAUUCCUAGGGUUCCGAUUUCUUCAGCUUCUUUGCUGGUGGAAUGUCUGGUCCGAGAGGAACACACUGAAGUGAUUCAGUGGCACGGAGGGACAAAAGCCCGGGAGAC